Molecule: ribosomal RNA, 301 nt
Filed under: uncultured bacterium
Lineage: Bacteria
Description: partial 16S ribosomal RNA
Rfam family: Bacterial small subunit ribosomal RNA
Source: RNAcentral
CAGCAGCCGCGGUAAUACGUAGGGUGCGAGCGUUAAUCGGAAUUACUGGGCGUAAAGGGCGUGUAGGCGGCCUGGGGCGUCCCAUGUGAAAGGCCACGGCUCAACCGUGGAGGAGCGUGGGAUACGCUCAGGCUAGAGGGUGGGAGAGGGUGGUGGAAUUCCCGGAGUAGCGGUGAAAUGCGCAGAUACCGGGAGGAACGCCGAUGGCGAAGGCAGCCACCUGGUCCACUUCUGACGCUGAGGCGCGAAAGCGUGGGGAGCAAACCGGAUUAGAUACCCGCGUAGUCCCUGUCUCUUAUAC